RNAcentral lists this non-coding RNA (24 nucleotides) under Drosophila melanogaster (fruit fly). Lineage: Eukaryota; Metazoa; Arthropoda; Insecta; Diptera; Drosophilidae. The record is from RNAcentral.
CUGGAGGUCGUGCUCAAGAUCGAG